This 432-nucleotide ribosomal RNA is filed under the name uncultured bacterium. RNAcentral's name for it is "partial 16S ribosomal RNA". It matches the Rfam family "Bacterial small subunit ribosomal RNA", at positions 29 to 507 of the family's 1533-position model. The record is from RNAcentral.
AACGAACGCUGGCGGCAUGCCUAACACAUGCAAGUCGAACGAGACCGUCGGGUCUAGUGGCGCACGGGUGCGUAACGCGUGGGAACCUGCCCUUAGGUUCGGAAUAACUGCCCGAAAGGGGUGCUAAUACCGGAUAAUGUCUUCGGACCAAAGAUUUAUCGCCUUUGGAUGGGCCCGCGUUGGAUUAGCUAGUUGGUAGGGUAAAGGCCUACCAAGGCGACGAUCCAUAGCUGGUCUGAGAGGAUGCUCAGCCACACUGGGACUGAGACACGGCCCAGACUCCUGCGGGAGGCGGCAGUGGGGACUAUUGGACACUGGGCGAAAGCCUGGUCCAGCAGUGCCUCGUGAGUGAUGAAGGCCUUAGAGUUGUAAUGCUCUUUUACCCGGGAUGAUAAUGACAGUACCGGAGAAUAAGCUCCGGCUAACUCCGUG